RNAcentral lists this ribosomal RNA (407 nucleotides) under uncultured bacterium. Its description in RNAcentral is "partial 16S ribosomal RNA". It matches the Rfam family "Bacterial small subunit ribosomal RNA", at positions 28 to 526 of the family's 1533-position model. The record is from RNAcentral.
GACGAACGCUGUCGGCGUGCCUAAUACAUGCAAGUAGAACGCAGUUGCGAACGGGUGAGUAACGCGUAGGUAACUGCCUCAUAGCGGGGGAUAACUCUUGGAACCGAUAGCUAAUACCGCAUACUGUCCUAUGGACCUGUGUUGUAUUAGCUAGUUGGUGAGGUAAAUGCUCAACAAGGCGACGAUACAUAGCCGACCUGAGAGGGUGAUCGGCCAAACUGGGACUGAGACACGGCCCAGACUCCGACGGGAGGCAGCAGUAGGGAAUCUUCGGAAAUGGACGGAAGUCUGACCGAGCAACGCCGCGUGAGUGAAGAAGGUUUUCGGAUCGUAAAGCUCUGUUGUUAGAGAAGCGGUAACUAAAGAGAAAGGGACGGCUAACUACGUGCCAGCCGCCGCGGUAAUAC